Chinchilla lanigera (long-tailed chinchilla) is the source of this 2017-nucleotide long non-coding RNA. NCBI's taxonomy places the organism in Eukaryota, Metazoa, Chordata, Mammalia, Rodentia, Chinchillidae. The record is from Ensembl.
CUCCCAUCUGCUCUGCCAGAAACCAUGAUGAAAGAACAAGGUUCACAAAGUAGGAAUCUGCAGCUAUUUGUGAGCAUGUGGAUAGAGGUCCAGAUUAGAAGACUGUGCUUAUACAUGUGCAGCAAAAUGGCCCCAGGAAUCGUUCCCACAAUAGCUUUCGGGCAAACCAGUCAACUGAGUAAUGAAAAACCGACCAAUUGGUCUCGAGACUGUGAUGAACAGAGCUUCAAGUUAGCCUCUACCUUCCUGUGUGCGUCCUCAUCGGAGAUCAGUUGGCUUCCAGCCCCUGGCGAGCACCAGCCCGCUCCUCCCUGCCCUCCUUGCAAGAUGCUCAGAACCCUCUGCUAGCAGGUGAAGUUAAAGGAGCUCUGAAAACUCCCAAAGAGCACCUGUGCACACAAUUAAGAAAGUGUAUUUUUAGUGCAUGUUUAUUUUCUCAUUGUUAUUACUUCAUUAUGUGACUUCUUAGUGACCCUGAUGACUCAUUUGCAUCCAGAUCAUUAAAACCCUUUCAUUUGUCCAUUUAAACUGACUUGGGGUUUUAGCUAAUUAUCACUUCCUGGCAGCCUGAAGGUCAGACUAUUUCCUUUUGUUUCGCUCGGCAGUUAAUCCCCUCAUUAAAGGCGCUGGGAAAUGAAUAAUUAAACAUGUGCCAUUUUCAUAUUUCAGGUAAUGAGAGGCCCUCAGAUCCCGGAGGAUGCCUAAGAGGAAAAGCCAGGGGAGUGGUGAAGACGCUCUCUCCCGCACACAUGCCAUGGACUGUACAGAGGAAGGGUGGCCCCCUCCAAACCGCAGAGUGCAGGGAAAGUUGAACAGAGGAAGGAAGUCUCCCCCGAGGUUGGAAAGAUGACUAAAAUUUGGUUGGCCGAGAGAAGGGAAAAGAUGAUUCAAGUAAGUGAGGAAUGUGAGCACCGUGGGAAGGGUCUGGGCUGCACUCACAGCAGGACGUUGUCUGUGAGUCUACGACAGGCAGCACAGGGAAGGGACGCUGACCAGCGGGGGACAGUCCGAGGGUGGAGUGGAGGGCUGGCACUGUCUCCUGCCAUCAGUACAGAUGGCAGAGAAGGAACGAACAGGGCGAACCAGGAAAGAGCCCAUCCAGAGCUGCCCAGCAGACGUGCGGCGGACACGUUACCAAAAGCUCCACGGAGUGAGGAGUAUGUCUCUGCGGUGAGGGGCCAGCUCUGCCCUGGCUCGCUGGAUCGGCCUGGCGCCCCUCUCCCUUGCUCCUUCAGACCGGCCCAUGGCCGCGUGAGAGCCAGGGUCUCCUGCUCACCGGGCGCAGCGCACAGGGCUGCGGCCGCCCGGAUGCCUCUGUACCUGUCCCAGCCCCAGCUCCUGCUCCUACUCAGUUCCGUGAUGAUGCUGCUCUCCUGCAGAAGCCUUCCUCACCCCUUCCACCUCUGGGUGAGCUCACACAUAACUAGACGCCCCGGUAACACUUGAUUUACUCUUUCUGAGGCUUGCCGCCUGGACUGCCUUUGUCUAAGGCCGUCUUGGUGUAGGACAUCUGGAUUUGCCUGGCUGUGAAGCUCUGCUUCAUUUCUUAAAAGCUUGCAUCCUACACGAGUCAGUUGACUUUUCUAAAUUAGGCUUCUCCCUGUGUAAAAGGAAAAUAAGAACGAGAAGCACUUCGCGGAAUGACUGUGGGGAUCCAGGGAAACUACCUAAGAUGCCUACAUCAGCGAGUGCUCAGUAAGCAUUACGCAAAGCCUGUCUCCUGUACUUUCCAAGCUCCCUGACACAAGGACCGUGACUUUCAUCUUUGAAUAUUUAGGAACAAAGAAAUCUCCGGCACACAGAGGGCAUUCCCGAAUUCUCUAGCACGUGUUCCCUAAUAAGUGAGUUCUCCACAUGUGUAAGGCUUAUCCCUUAACGAAAAUGCAUUUGGAAAAUGCUUGUUUCUCAUAAAACGAAUUCGUAUCCGUUGAUGAAAAUUUGAAAAACACAGAUUACAGAGAUCAAAAUAAAGGUCGUGUGAUCAUAUCAUCUAUCCCUAAAUGCUAGUAUACAUCCC